AAGGAGGCUGGUCUGUGCAGGCCAAGGUCUGCCUGCGCCUGACGCCACCAGGGGGAGUGCUGCUCUGCUCCGUUCACCCCACCCCCCAGCGGUGAAGAGGGAAAAAUAGUGUCAGUGAGGGGAAAAUAGCAGCGGGGGCUGGGCAGCAGCAGUGGUGGCAGUGGCAGGGCAGAGGAGGCAGCAGAUCAGCUGUGGGGCCAGCUGCCCACCCAAGAAGGCUGUAUGAAAAGAAUGAAAACUGAGCACCAGCGCCUCGCACCCACAACCUCCCUCCACCAGAAAAUAGAAUAAAAUAAAAUAAAAUGUGCACAUAAAGGAUUCCUCCUACAAAUAAACGGCAGUUGUCUACACUGGCACAAACCCCAAGGAGUCGACCGUUCCUGCAUACAAACAACAGUUCCAUUGUUGUGGUGAAACAUGCUUAGUACACAGGUGCUUCAAAACUGGAUAAUGGAUAUUUUGCACAUGAAGGCCUCUGAGAAUAUUCAGGCAAACAGUUCCUCUGACAUCACAUGAAGGCCUUUCCCAGGAUCAAGAAUAUGUCCCUCUAUGACUUCGUGCAUCAGGCUGGCAGUGGUAGUAGGAGAAGGGAUUUUAAGGUCAUCAUAGCAAGAAUCAACAAAGAUAACUCAUGUACAAUUUGAAUACCUGUGGGCAUUUGCUUAUUUCAUGCCAUGGAGGUGUUGAUAUAGAGAAAGGAAGAUAAUAAUAAAAAUGUUCAGAGUUGUCAUA
Molecule: long non-coding RNA, 732 nt
Organism: Hemicordylus capensis (graceful crag lizard)
Lineage: Eukaryota; Metazoa; Chordata; Lepidosauria; Squamata; Cordylidae
Exons: 5
Source: RefSeq, a predicted model, not a curated record